This 1004-nucleotide ribosomal RNA is filed under the name Lactobacillus sp. Its description in RNAcentral is "bacterial SSU rRNA". It matches the Rfam family "Bacterial small subunit ribosomal RNA", at positions 42 to 1019 of the family's 1533-position model. Lineage: Bacteria; Bacillati; Bacillota; Bacilli; Lactobacillales; Lactobacillaceae. The record is from RNAcentral.
AUGGGGCUGCUAUAAUGCAGUCGACGAAACUUUCUUACACCGAAUGCUUGCAUUCACCGUAAGAAGUUGAGUGGCGGACGGGUGAGUAACACGUGGGUAACCUGCCUAAAAGAAGGGGAUAACACUUGGAAACAGGUGCUAAUACCGUAUAUCUCUAAGGAUCGCAUGAUCCUUAGAUGAAAGAUGGUUCUGCUAUCGCUUUUAGAUGGACCCGCGGCGUAUUAACUAGUUGGUGGGGUAACGGCCUACCAAGGUGAUGAUACGUAGCCGAACUGAGAGGUUGAUCGGCCACAUUGGGACUGAGACACGGCCCAAACUCCUACGGGAGGCAGCAGUAGGGAAUCUUCCACAAUGGACGCAAGUCUGAUGGAGCAACGCCGCGUGAGUGAAGAAGGUCUUCGGAUCGUAAAACUCUGUUGUUAGAGAAGAACACGAGUGAGAGUAACUGUUCAUUCGAUGACGGUAUCUAACCAGCAAGUCACGGCUAACUACGUGCCAGCAGCCGCGGUAAUACGUAGGUGGCAAGCGUUGUCCGGAUUUAUUGGGCGUAAAGGGAACGCAGGCGGUCUUUUAAGUCUGAUGUGAAAGCCUUCGGCUUAACCGGAGUAGUGCAUUGGAAACUGGAAGACUUGAGUGCAGAAGAGGAGAGUGGAACUCCAUGUGUAGCGGUGAAAUGCGUAGAUAUAUGGAAGAACACCAGUGGCGAAAGCGGCUCUCUGGUCUGUAACUGACGCUGAGGUUCGAAAGCGUGGGUAGCAAACAGGAUUAGAUACCCUGGUAGUCCACGCCGUAAACGAUGAAUGCUAGGUGGUUGGAGGGUUUCCGCCCUUCAGUGCCGCAGCUAACGCAAUAAGCAUUCCGCCUGGGGAGUACGACCGCAAGGUUGAAACUCAAAGGAAUUGACGGGGGCCCGCACAAGCGGUGGAGCAUGUGGUUAAUUCGAAGCACGCGAAGAACCUUACCAGGUCUUGACUCCUUUGACCCCCUAAAAGAUAAGGUUUCCC